Molecule: long non-coding RNA, 2839 nt
Organism: Strigops habroptila (Kakapo)
Lineage: Eukaryota; Metazoa; Chordata; Aves; Psittaciformes; Psittacidae
Source: Ensembl
UUUUUGGUCAAUUGGGUCUUUGUGAGGAUUUUUUUUUUUCCUUUUUUUUUUUUUUUUCCUUUUUUUCAACCUGUGAUUGUGACUAUAACAAACAAGCUCUAAAAACAUCUAAGACUUAGUGCGUUACAGGAAAAAAAAAAAAUAUAAAAUACUGCUAAAAAUGUAAGACACCACAAUACACGGGGGGAAAACUGAGCUUAUUAUUCAAAAUAAAAACCAAGAAAAAAAAAAGGUUCUCAGGAAAAAGUACACCACUUUCUGUUUGAGUUCAUCUUGUGCUGUGUUAGUAGUCAGGGCAUUUCCAAGGUCUGCCCAUUCUCAUGGCAAGUAGUUAUUGCACAAAUGCAAAGAGUUAAUUUUUUUCAUUAAACAAAACAAAAUAAUAAAUGAAAAGGGACAUGAGGGAAACAAUUAAAAAGAAAAAGAACAGAACAUCCCCCUCCCCCCCCCCAGCCAGCCUCCAUCUGCUUUGGAAUUAUCAUCCAGAUUCGUACAGCGACAUUCUCGCAGCAUUCCCAGCGAGUGCUGCUUUCCCAAAAGGAAUGGCAGAAAACGCUUUUCAACACAGAAAUGCAUAGAGGAUUCUGACAGGAACAACCUCUUUUGUUUUGCAGAAGUUAUCCGAUAAUUACCAGAGGGCUUUCGUUUUGUCUCUCUCUCCUUUUUUAUUCUUUCAGACUAUGCCAGAAGGAAAGAACCUCGUGUGGGAAAUUCAUCUGAUGGUUUUUAGUGGGACACCCUCGAAAGGCAAAGUGCAAAUUUGCUUCCAGAUCCACAGAAGUGGUGAUGUGCCCUGCAACUAGCUCAGCACCGUCUGUCUUUGCCCACCAUAAGGCUGUACUGCGGGGCCGAGUGGUUCGGUGCUACCAGAGGCCCUUUGCGUCGUCCCUCGUGCAGACACACGCUCCCCCUGCCACAAGCAGGGGCAAUUUUGAGCCCAACAGGUUUUAGUUUGGCUUAAUGCAGCUCUUUCUCUUGCUCGUUUGCCAAGCGUGACCUAGCCAGGGAGAGCCUGUCUGAACGUGUUCCGACACUGCAAGAAAACGAACCACCUCCUCCGUGACCGAGAUCAAUUCACAACGUGUUAUUUCCAGAGUUCACACCAGGAAAAGUUGCUGCUGCACAAGGUGAUUUUUUCUCUUUUUUUCCUUGACCAACUUUGAAUGAGAAGAAAAUCAGCUCUGAAUUCAGAAAUUCAAACAUAUGCCAACAAAGAUGAACAUCACAGGAAACCAGUCUCUCAUUUUAAAUUAACACUCUCGAGUAAAUCACUAUGUACUUUGACAAAGGGGCACUGCAUCUUCAUGACAUUCUCAGUAGAGGCUCUAGGAGGCUAAGGGUAUUUUCUCUCUCUGUAUAUUUUAAGUCUCUUCUCUCACAACUGAGGCUUCUUAUUCUCAGUCCUAAAUUAUUUUAAAACUAUUUAAAUAAUAUUAUUUAUUAGGCAUUUAGAUAAAAUACUUUAAAAAAAGAAAAUGAUUGCUCUAGAAAACACAACAGGGGCACAAUGAUAUGGAUACUACGACGAGCCGACACCUCCCGCUCCACUGCUAGGACAGCCCAAACCUUCUCCAACGUCCAUUUAGGGGAUAUGUAUACUCCUGUUGUGUUUGUAUCAAACAAAAACAAACCUCAAAAAAGAAACUGUUAAAAUUAAUCUCAUAAAUAGGAAAUAUUAGAUUGUUUUCCUAAUUACAAACCACCUUUAUAUACUUCACCUUAUGAUGCUGUAGAGAGAGCAAGCUUGGAAAAUAACACACACAAGCGCUGGUAAGGGCUGAGGAUGCUGGUGGGUGAAAGCCUGUUCUUUACAAAGCCAAAUGAAGACUGGAAUGACUUUACAGUGCCUUGCCACCCAGAGACCACGAGGCUCUGGGCAUGGAAAUGAAGACAGCGUGUGUCACUAAUGGCACAAGAGGACAUGGUCACAGUUAGCAAUGGCUGAAGUCCACAAGUGUUUCCUGAAUGCUGACAGACCUAUGAGUAUGCUGGGUGAGACUGAGCCUUAUGAGCAUACUGUGGGUGAUGGUGGACUUUCUAACCCGAGACCCCACCGUGCUGCUGGAGCCAACCCAGAGGGAUAUGUAUUUUUUUCUUCCCCAGGAACCUGAAUUCUCCUAAACUAGAGCUUGUGCUCGCCUGCAUUUGGCAGCCGGGACACGAACCUCCAAACGCAGAGCGAGAAUUGCUAUUGCACAAAGACUUCACACAGUGUUUGAAGUGCUCAUCAGCGAUGGGGCAACUCAUGUCGGGCCACUGAAAUGCUCCUCGAUCGGUGCUUGCUUCCCCCCCUCCCCCCAAAAUGAAAAGCGGCUGUGAACGCUGCAAUCGAGAUCACUGUGCUUUAGAUUAUUCUCCACAAAGAGAUUCGGAAUUAAGGCACAUAGCUUUCCAAGUAGAGAAAGUUUGUUAAAUAGGAAAUUUAGGUAAGUUUCAGAACCUAAAAAAACUGAAUGGGAAAUGCGGUAACAUACAGGAUUUUGGUGAUAUGCGUGUUGAAUGAAAACAGAGCCAUUUCAAGCUAAACUAAAAUCUUUCCCCCACAGGAAAAAAAGAAUUGAUCCAUGAUCUCCAUCUCUCUAGAGGAGGCGAGAAGGAAAUGGAAGCCCUGAUCAAGGAAAAAGACAAGUACGAUACAAAUGUGGCCUUGCUUACUCCCCACACACCUCCACUACAAACUAGAUGCUCAAGUACUCCUCACGUAGCCUGUACCAGCAUCCAGAGGUAACUAGGUACUUUGGAAACACUUUUAAAGCUAGUAAUAAUUUACCCACAUAUAAAUAAUAUGUCAAAAUAACACUAAGGGUCUAAUGUAAGCUAACAAAAGCCAGAGAAGUCU